Carassius auratus (goldfish) is the source of this 533-nucleotide long non-coding RNA. RefSeq lists it as uncharacterized. The record is from RefSeq and is a predicted model, not a curated record. Lineage: Eukaryota; Metazoa; Chordata; Actinopteri; Cypriniformes; Cyprinidae. The transcript is spliced from 2 exons.
AGGGGCCUGAGGCAUGGUGCAGGUAAGAGGGGAGGGGCCUGAGGCAUGGUGCAGGUAAGAGGGGAGGGGCCUGAGGCGUGGUGCAGGCAAGAGGGGAGGGGCCUGAGGUCAGAGUUCAGCAUGGGACGGGUAAGAAAAAGGCCAUUGCUCACCAAGACUGCAUUUAUUGAUUGGCUAGGAGUAGUGCUGCCAAACGAUUAAUCGCAUCCAAAAUAAGGUUUUAUUUACAUAAUACAUGUAAGAGUACUGUGUAUAUUUAUUAUGCAUAUAUACAUUCACACACAUACAGUAUAUAUUUUGAAAAUGUUUACAUUUCAUGUGUUAUGUAUAAAUAUUUAAUAUGUAAUCACAUCGUAAUCUAUCCAUGCAUGUGUGUGUUCAUCUAUACGUUACAUUUAGUCAUUUAGCAGACACUUUUAUACAAAGUGACUUAAAAAUGAGGACCAUAGAAGCAUUUAAAUCUAAUCAAAGAGUAAUGAUACACAAGUGCUAUAACAACUGUUAACACAGCACACAUUGCAAGGUUUUUUUAU